This 24-nucleotide non-coding RNA is filed under the name Arabidopsis thaliana (thale cress). Lineage: Eukaryota; Viridiplantae; Streptophyta; Magnoliopsida; Brassicales; Brassicaceae. The record is from RNAcentral.
UAAUGAUUCUGAAUUUCCUUUGCC